Molecule: ribosomal RNA, 253 nt
Filed under: uncultured bacterium
Lineage: Bacteria
Description: partial 16S ribosomal RNA
Rfam family: Bacterial small subunit ribosomal RNA
Source: RNAcentral
AACGUAGGUGGCGAGCGUUAUCCGGAUUUACUGGGCGUAAAGCGUGUGCAGGCGGGUUGUCAAGUGGUGUAUGAAAUCGCCCGGCUUAACCGGGCGGGGUUAGGCCAGACUGACAGCCUGGAGUGCGAGAGAGGGGCGUGGAAUUCCGGGUGUAGUGGUGAAAUGCGUAGAGAUCCGGAGGAACCCCAGCGGCGAAGGCGGCGCCCUGGCUCGCAACUGACGCUCAGACACGACAGCAUGGGGAGCGAACGGG